RNAcentral lists this ribosomal RNA (252 nucleotides) under uncultured bacterium. RNAcentral's name for it is "partial 16S ribosomal RNA". It matches the Rfam family "Bacterial small subunit ribosomal RNA", at positions 524 to 776 of the family's 1533-position model. The record is from RNAcentral.
UACGUAGGUGGCAAGCGUUGUCCGGAAUUAUUGGGCGUAAAGCGCGCGCAGGCGGUUAUGUAAGUCUGAUGUUAAAGCCCGGGGCUCAACCUCGGUUCGCAUUGGAAACUGUGUAACUUGAGUGCAGAAGAGGAAAGUGGUAUUCCACGUGUAGCGGUGAAAUGCGUAGAGAUGUGGAGGAACACCAGUGGCGAAGGCGACUUUCUGGUCUGUAACUGACGCUGAGGCGCGAAAGCGUGGGGAGCAAACAGG